AUGAUGCCUUGUGAUUUCUUUGCUACCACCUUGCAUUACAUGAUGCCAUCUGUUAAAGUAGAUUUGAAAAAGUAUUUGCUUGGAUAUGAUCAUAUAUACCCUGUUAGUGGCAUUACUCACAUUAAUGAUGAUCACAAUUACUUCCCUUGUGCUAGACCUAUGCUUAAUGAAACAUAUCAUUCUUAUGCUAGUCUUGAGCUUAAUGAAAAAUAUCAUCCUCAUGUUAGUGUUGACUUUGCUCAUUUCUACCAUUCUAAACAUGUGCUUUAUAGCUAUGCUUAUGUAAUUGGGUACUCUAUUGAUGAUUUAGAGGGCAUCUACCCUAUCACUUGUAGUUGUUGUUUGUGUGAGUCCUAUUUCAGGUUUUUGCUUGUGCACGAAUCAAUACAUGCUGACCAAGUUCGAGAUGACAUUCCCUGGGACCCUGGUGGACCCAUGGCAUGGGGAUGA
This 450-nucleotide ribosomal RNA is filed under the name Triticum aestivum (bread wheat). Its description in RNAcentral is "partial small subunit ribosomal RNA". Lineage: Eukaryota; Viridiplantae; Streptophyta; Magnoliopsida; Poales; Poaceae. The record is from RNAcentral.